RNAcentral lists this long non-coding RNA (459 nucleotides) under Sus scrofa (pig). RNAcentral's name for it is "lncRNA (multiple genes)". Lineage: Eukaryota; Metazoa; Chordata; Mammalia; Artiodactyla; Suidae. The record is from RNAcentral.
GGUAGGCAGCAGCAGAAGAAAGGUAUACAGCCUCUUGCUUUAUAUCCCCUUGAAAAUAUCAAAGUGCAAGCAAAAAACACAAAGAGAGGAAACUACAGAAGCCACACGAUAGGAAGAAGCACCACGACUUCGAGCCAGAAAGUUGGGUGUUCAAGUCUUUGUUAUUACUUAUUAUUUACCAGAUGUCAUCCCACUGUUCCUGGGUCAGUGUGAUAAUGGGAGUGAUGGGGAAAGGCAAGGUGUGUUUGGGGACCUUCCCACCCACUGGAAACCGGAGGAGUAGAGAGGUAAGCAUUCUCGUCUGGUAGUAGCUUGUGGCACCCUUUCCUCUGACUAGAAAGGCAGCAGAUGGUUAGGCUGAAGCAUAUGACAUUGCCGCUUUUGUUGGUUCAAAAUAGUUGAAUAACCUCUGAUUCCAGCAAUGAGAUUUCCCUCUGGGAACGUGCUACAGUCUUUUUA